GAUGAACGCUAGCGGGAGGCCUAACACAUGCAAGCCGAGCGGUAUUGUUUCUUCGGAAAUGAGAGAGCGGCGUACGGGUGCGGAACACGUGUGCAACCUGCCUUUAUCUGGGGGAUAGCCUUUCGAAAGGAAGAUUAAUACUCCAUAAUAUAUUGAACGGCAUCGUUUAAUAUUGAAAGCUCCGGCGGAUAGAGAUGGGCACGCGCAAGAUUAGCUAGUUGGUGAGGUAACGGCUCACCAAGGCGAUGAUCUUUAGGGGGCCUGAGAGGGUGAUCCCCCACACUGGUACUGAGACACGGACCAGACUCCUACGGGAGGCAGCAGUGAGGAAUAUUGGUCAAUGGGUGCAAGCCUGAACCAGCCAUCCCGCGUGAAGGACGACUGCCCUAUGGGUUGUAAACUUCUUUUGUAUAGGGAUAAACCUACCCUCGUGAGGGUAGCUGAAGGUACUAUACGAAUAAGCACCGGCUAACUCCGUGCCAGCAGCCGCGGUAAUACGGAGGGUGCAAGCGUUAUCCGGAUUUAUUGGGUUUAAAGGGUCCGUAGGCGGACUUAUAAGUCAGUGGUGAAAGCCUGUCGCUUAACGAUAGAACUGCCAUUGAUACUGUAAGUCUUGAGUAUAUUUGAGGUAGCUGGAAUAAGUAGUGUAGCGGUGAAAUGCAUAGAUAUUACUUAGAACACCAAUUGCGAAGGCAGGUUACCAAGAUAUAACUGACGCUGAGGGACGAAAGCGUGGGGAGCGAACAGGAUUAGAUACCCUGGUAGUCCACGCCGUAAACGAUGCUAACUCGUUUUUGGGCUUUAGGGUUCAGAGACCAAGCGAAAGUGAUAAGUUAGCCACCUGGGGAGUACGCUCGCAAGAGUGAAGCUCAAAGGAAUUGACGGGGGCCCGCACAAGCGGUGGAUUAUGUGGUUUAAUUCGAUGGUACGCGAGGAACCUUACCAAGACUUAAAUGGGAAUUGACAGCUUUAGAAAUAGAGCUUUCUUCGGACAAUUUUCAAGGUGCUGCAUGGUUGUCGUCAGCUCGUGCCGUGAGGUGUUAGGUUAAGUCCUGCAACGAGCGCAACCCCUGUCACUAGUUGCCAUCAUUCAGUUGGGGACUCUAGUGAGACUGCCUACGCAAGUAGAGAGGAAGGUGGGGAUGACGUCAAAUCAUCACGGCCCUUACGUCUUGGGCCACACACGUAAUACAAUGGCCGGUACAGAGGGCAGCUACACAGCGAUGUGAUGCAAAUCUCGAAAGCCGGUCUCAGUUCGGAUUGGAGUCUGCAACUCGACUCUAUGAAGCUGGAAUCGCUAGUAAUCGCGCAUCAGCCAUGGCGCGGUGAAUACGUUCCCGGGCCU
RNAcentral lists this ribosomal RNA (1345 nucleotides) under uncultured bacterium. RNAcentral describes it as "bacterial SSU rRNA". It matches the Rfam family "Bacterial small subunit ribosomal RNA", at positions 28 to 1381 of the family's 1533-position model. The record is from RNAcentral.